GCCUGGGUGGCUCAGUUGGUUGAGCAUCUGGCUUUGGCUCAGGUCAUGAUCUUACGGUUUAUGAGUUCAAGCCCCAUGCUGGGCU
Molecule: transfer RNA, 85 nt
Filed under: Felis catus (domestic cat)
Lineage: Eukaryota; Metazoa; Chordata; Mammalia; Carnivora; Felidae
Rfam family: tRNA
About the family: Transfer RNA (tRNA) molecules are approximately 80 nucleotides in length.
Source: Rfam by way of RNAcentral